AUUUUAUUAAAUAUCUAUUUUAGAUUAAAAAAAAUAAAAUUCAAAUAAGUAUUUUAUAUUUUUUUUAAUACUAAGCAUUCAUUUAAAAAGUGCAUCCAUAUAUGUAUAUCUAUGUAUCGAUGGUGGAGGCGAUGGGGUGGGCUCAGGAUCUCGAUACCAUCUAUUUCCUCGUUUCUUUCAUGCCCGCCUCUCAUCUCCUUAUCUCUCUCUGUCUUCUUCAGGUGACCAAAGGGAUCUCGUGUUUCUUGACUUGAGACAUUUAUGCUCAUGAGGCAAGGCUUUUUCAGAAGUGAAGUGAAGGAAGGAGAAAAGGUUAUGAGGUAAUAAUUUUUUUUUAAAUGUCAAAAACUCUUUGUUCCAUCCUUUAAGAGGGUGUGGAUUUUCCAGAACCUAAACGUGCAUCCUUUUUAUGUAUGUGUAUACUUAGAUAUACAUAUACAUAUACAUACAUAUAUAUAGUUACUUAUUAGACUAGAAAAUCAAGUUUGUUCCAAGUUCUUUAUUCCGUAGCUCAAUUGGUUAGGAUUCAGGGUGGCAGGGGUAGGAGUUGACAAUUAUGAGAUAAGCAUAAGUAUUUGAUCUCACUUAACAAUAGUGUGUUGUACCAAGUGCUUAAUUGUUUGGUCCGUGACCUGACUUGGUAGUAAACUUUGGCCUCUUUGAUUAUAAUAAGGAAGAUAAUGCCUAUACUUAUUCUCUUACUCUGCUGGAUGUAAAUUUGUGAUUGAGUUCAUGGUGGUUUUGAGUCUGUCUUAUUUUUAGCUCUUGUGUUUGUUAAUUUGUUGGAGCAUAUAAUAUAAAUUUCAUGUACUAUAGAUUACAA
Long non-coding RNA from Cannabis sativa, 823 nucleotides. RefSeq lists it as uncharacterized. NCBI's taxonomy places the organism in Eukaryota, Viridiplantae, Streptophyta, Magnoliopsida, Rosales, Cannabaceae. The record is from RefSeq and is a predicted model, not a curated record. The transcript is spliced from 2 exons.